RNAcentral lists this ribosomal RNA (496 nucleotides) under uncultured bacterium. Its description in RNAcentral is "partial 16S ribosomal RNA". It matches the Rfam family "Bacterial small subunit ribosomal RNA", at positions 29 to 507 of the family's 1533-position model. The record is from RNAcentral.
ACGAACGCUGGCGGCGUGCCUAAUACAUGCAGGUAGAACGCUGAAGAGAGGAGCUUGCUCUUCUUGGAUGAGUUGCGAACGGGUGAGUAACGCGUAGGUAACCUGCCUUGUAGCGGGGGAUAACUAUUGGAAACGAUAGCUAAUACCGCAUAACAAUGGAUGACACAUGUCAUUUAUUUGAAAGGGGCAUUUGCUCCACUACAAGAUGGACCUGCGUUGUAUUAGCUAGUAGGUGAGGUAAUGGCUCACCUAGGCGACGAUACAUAGCCGACCUGAGAGGGUGAUCGGCCACACUGGGACUGAGACACGGCCCAGACUCCUACGGGAGGCAGCAGUAGGGAAUCUUCGGCAAUGGGGGCAACCCUGACCGAGCAACGCCGCGUGAGUGAAGAAGGUUUUCGGAUCGUAAAGCUCUGUUGUAAGUCAAGAACGGGUGUGAGAGUGGAAAGUUCACACUGUGACGGUAGCUUACCAGAAAGGGACGGCUAACUACGUG